Molecule: long non-coding RNA, 2721 nt
Organism: Sarcophilus harrisii (Tasmanian devil)
Lineage: Eukaryota; Metazoa; Chordata; Mammalia; Dasyuromorphia; Dasyuridae
Exons: 3
Source: RefSeq, a predicted model, not a curated record
CCUGUAGACGUAGUCCAAUCGCAGAGCCAGAGAAUUAGUUCCCUAUAAAAGCCAGAAGAGGCGGGCUUCUCCUUCUUUUUCUGGCUGGCACGCUCUCUGGUCGGACCUGGCGCCUUUGAGGUUGUGCUGCGGCUCUCGGCUUGUUGGAUCUCCUUAGCUUCGAGUUCGAGGCAGCGACCGGCGUUCCUCUUUCAUCCUGGGAAUGAACACCCGAAGCGACCAGUGUCAGCUUCCUGCGGCGCCCCAGAAGGGCGAGGUGUGCCCUGUGCUGUGGAUGGACUUUACCACCAAACAGAUUUCAUGAUGAGCAAACUACAACAGUUUGUCCCCUAUGCAUUUGUGUUAUGGGUAAGUAUAAAGUGGGGGUGGGGGGUAGGGGGUGGGUGCUAGAAGAUUACUGCAAUCUGCCCAUAAUAAAAAGGUAGUUUGAUUAUGGGUGGUAAGAGUCAGGAUGUGACCAGUAGCUUACAGCUAAAUGGUCAUUCACUAUAUGAAAUUUUCAGACCUUUAUAUCUAAAACACUAGGCAGAGCUCCUUGCUGAAGCAGCCUUUUACUUCUGGUGUUUGUGCCUAUCCCUAUUCUCCUUUUCCCACAUUGUUCUGGGUCUUUAAGUACUAAAGGAAAUGGAAUUAUGGAGUUAGAAUACAGCAUCACCUGGUGCUAAGUGGCUUUCUUAAUAUACACGGGUUAUCCUGGCUCCAAAGUGCAUCCUUUCUUUGGAUCACUUCUACCACAGCCAGCUUUGUUGUGGUUGGGGAAAGAGGGAAGAGAACAUGGUGUGGAGAAGACUCAUUUCCCAGUACUAUCCAACGAUUGUGUGUGUAUACACACAUAUAUGCCUAUUUUUUCUUAAUGCAGAACAUUGAUAGAAUGCAUAUAGAUGAACUUGCAAAAAGCAGUUACCCUAUAGUAACUGUAUAAGACGACUGUCAUAAAGAGGCACUUGAUGGAGAUAAAUCUGACAAAAACUUAAAAUGUCCAGAAAGAAUACCUUGCUAUCUCUAGCAUCCAUUGUGAACCUGCCUUAUGACAUAAUGGAAAAGAAAGUUGCCCCAGGGGUAGAGUUGCAGCCUCUGCAGGAAUGAUACUAUAAAUUGGAGUCUCCCAAAGUCCUACCAGGUAAAUCCAAAGCAGCUAUUAGGAGAGUGGAAAAUGGUGCUUUUCUGAACUGUCUCUAGCCUUCCCUGAAAACCUAUUGCUCUGGGUCUUAGUAUAAAUUUGUCCAAACUAAUUACAUAUAGCCCACAUAAAGACAAAGCUUUUUUUUUUUUUUUAAUAUACUAGAUCUGAGUGUCACUAGAUAGUUGUCCUCAGGAAUGUAGCCUAGUACCAAGGACUUGGCUACCAAAUGUCUCAGGACCUGUAUAGGAAAAGUGACUAAUGCCGAACCUAAAUUCCCUGCCUCUUUUGACUUAUUGUCACUAAUUUAGUUUCUUCAGCUGCAAACUGGAGGAGAUAAAAGCACCUACCUCCCAGAGUUGUUAUGAGGCUCAAAUGAGAUAUUACUUGUAAAGUGCUUAUCUUAGUGUCUGGCACAUAGUGAGCACUUAAUAAGUAUAUCACUUAUAUAAAAUAGAUUUUUAUAUAAUGCUUGUUUACUUCCCAAUGUUAGGAGUAUUUGGGGAGGAGAGUAUCAAGACAUUGAUAUUUGUACUUUCCCAUCUGUCUCCUAUGCCUGGUGCAGGGGUCUGAUGACUGAGCUCCAGGUAUAGUACCCUAAUUUGUAUCCCUCGAAUGUUCUUUUGUUAUAUAUUGUGUCAUUAAUUGCAAUUGUAUAUUAAAGUUAUUAUGAAUAAACUGAAAAUUGAUAAAUUGCUACUUAAUUUUCUACAUCAAUCACUGGGUGGGCCACUGGUACCAGUGUUCUCAUUGGAAUUGAAAAGGACUCUGUUAGACUAUCUAAUGGACCUCAGUGACAAUAUUUGAACAAGUAUUCUGACUUUUAAGAUUUGAAUUGAGGAAUGAAAACUACUACCUUCCAAGUCUUUUUUUAGGAUUUGAAAGCCUUUUAUAUCUUUUUUUCAGGGCCAAUAUUCUCAGUUCCUUCUGUUGGUUUACCAGAGGUCUUAUCUUAUCUAAAUUAAGUAUUUUUUAAAUAACAAUAAUGGCUUUAUUUCUUGGCUAGUUCUAUAAAGAGAUAGUCUUUUUUAUGUCCCUUAUGAGUUGGGUCCUUCAGAUCUUCCCAAAUUGAGUGCCAAAUCGGGUCCAAGUUUAUGGUCAUUCCCUUUUCUAAAUUGUGUUUGAAAAGAAAAGUGAACUUCUAGGCAGUCUCUUUGGGAGGUUGCCAGUUAGAAUGUUGUUAGAAGAGGGUUUUGAGUGCACAGAUCCCUUUUAUUAUAUGCCCUUUGUUGAAAGUGUGAUCUUUGUAGAAUACCACUCUAGGUAUAUGUGAUUAUCUUGAUUUGAGGAACUUCAGUAAUUUUUAAAAUUUCCUUCCAAUGAUUUGAGGGCAAAGCACAAAGUACAAUGUUGCUUUAAAAAAAAAAAAAAACAACAAACUUUAUUGACAGCAUUGUAGAACAUCAUACCACGAACAGAAGGGCCAACAAGAAAGAUGUUUGUACCAAAUUGGGGUAACUUAAUCUUGUUUCAGCAGCACUUUGUGAUAUAAAAAGCUAUCAGACAUAAUACAGUAUGACCGUUGAAUUCCGAGGCUAUGGAAUCUGAACUUUUUUGGUUACAAGACAAAAGCUUUGCUCAUCACUCUUUAAAUCUGCUUU